UACAGAGGGUGCAAGCGUUGUCCGGAUUUAUUGGGUUUAAAGGGUGCGUAGGCGGUUCUUUAAGUCCGGGGUGAAAGCCCACUGCUCAACAGUGGAACUGCCCUGGAAACUGGAGAACUUGAGUACAGACGAGGGCGGCGGAAUGGAUGGUGUAGCGGUGAAAUGCAUAGAUACCAUCCAGAACCCCGAUUGCGAAGGCAGCUGCCUAGACUGUAACUGACGCUGAGGCACGAAAGCGUGGGGAGCGAACAGG
This 253-nucleotide ribosomal RNA is filed under the name uncultured bacterium. RNAcentral's name for it is "partial 16S ribosomal RNA". It matches the Rfam family "Bacterial small subunit ribosomal RNA", at positions 524 to 776 of the family's 1533-position model. The record is from RNAcentral.